Molecule: ribosomal RNA, 886 nt
Filed under: Enterococcus gilvus
Lineage: Bacteria; Bacillati; Bacillota; Bacilli; Lactobacillales; Enterococcaceae
Description: bacterial SSU rRNA
Rfam family: Bacterial small subunit ribosomal RNA
Source: RNAcentral
UGCAAGUCGACGCUUUUUCUUUCACCGGAGCUUGCUCCACCGAAAGAAAAGGAGUGGCGAACGGGUGAGUAACACGUGGGUAACCUGCCCAUCAGAAGGGGAUAACACUUGGAAACAGGUGCUAAUACCGUAUAACAAUAGAAACCGCAUGGUUUCUAUUUGAAAGGCGCUUUUGCGUCACUGAUGGAUGGACCCGCGGUGCAUUAGCUAGUUGGUGAGGUAACGGCUCACCAAGGCAACGAUGCAUAGCCGACCUGAGAGGGUGAUCGGCCACAUUGGGACUGAGACACGGCCCAAACUCCUACGGGAGGCAGCAGUAGGGAAUCUUCGGCAAUGGACGAAAGUCUGACCGAGCAACGCCGCGUGAGUGAAGAAGGUUUUCGGAUCGUAAAACUCUGUUGUUAGAGAAGAACAAGGAUGAGAGUAGAAUGUUCAUCCCUUGACGGUAUCUAACCAGAAAGCCACGGCUAACUACGUGCCAGCAGCCGCGGUAAUACGUAGGUGGCAAGCGUUGUCCGGAUUUAUUGGGCGUAAAGCGAGCGCAGGCGGUUUCUUAAGUCUGAUGUGAAAGCCCCCGGCUCAACCGGGGAGGGUCAUUGGAAACUGGGAAACUUGAGUGCAGAAGAGGAGAGUGGAAUUCCAUGUGUAGCGGUGAAAUGCGUAGAUAUAUGGAGGAACACCAGUGGCGAAGGCGGCUCUCUGGUCUGUAACUGACGCUGAGGCUCGAAAGCGUGGGGAGCAAACAGGAUUAGAUACCCUGGUAGUCCACGCCGUAAACGAUGAGUGCUAAGUGUUGGAGGGUUUCCGCCCUUCAGUGCUGCAGCUAACGCAUUAAGCACUCCGCCUGGGGAGUACGACCGCAAGGUUGAAACUCAAAGGAAUUGAC